AAAUAAAAUAAAGAGUAAAUUUCAAAUAUCAUCUCUGUAACUUCGUAGUUUUUCACUUUAAUAGCCUAUGAUUUAAAAUAUAUCGAUUUAUAAAUUAAUACUCUGCGAUUUUAUUUUUCGCUUUUCGUCAGCCCCUCCGUUAACUUUUCGUUAAAUCAUAUACAAAAAUUUCAUAUACCCUACCUAUAGUUUAUCGAAUAUUCACUUUAGUACUCUUUAGUUUUAAUUUUGUCACUGAUUUAACGAAAAAAUAAAAUCACAGGAUACGAAAGUAAUACAUUUUAAACCAUAUUAUACUAAAGUGAGAAAGUGCGAAACAAUAAGGGUGGUAUUUUACGUUUUUCCUAAAAUAAAGGGAAAAAAAAUUUUAAGCCCCUUCAUGUGAAAAUUUACGGAGACCUCCUCAACUAUAGCUUAUUUCGAAUAUGCCGUUUAGCUUUAUUAAUUUUUUUGGCAUCUUUUUAAUAAUUUUUAUUAAAUAAUAUGAAAUAAUUAUUGUUAUUCAAAAAAAUUAAACUGAUAAUAGAGAACAAUUCGCGCGUGGACUAGAGAAUAUGAAACUUGAUUGUAGUAAUUUAAAAUUUUGGGAAUAUGAAACUUGAUUGUAGUAAUUUAAAAUUUUAACUCAAAAAUUAUAAUAAAUUUAAAUUUUGGGAAUUGAAAUACUGCCCACCUUACAAUUUGAGAAUUAAAAUAGGAUAAACUUCAAAUACGAUUCCUGUGGUUUCGCACUUUCUCACUUUAGUAUCCUGUGGUUUAAAGUAUAUCAAGUUAGUGUCCUGUGGUUUUAUUUUUAUCUUUUCGCCAGCUUUUUCGUUAAUAUUUCGUUAAAUUAUAUACAAAAAAUUUCAGAUAUUCCACCUAAAUUUAUCGAAUAUUCAUUUUAGUACCCUUUAGUUUUAAUUUUGUCGCUAAUUUAACGAAAAAAAUUAGUGAAAUCGAUAAUAAAAAAAUAAAAGUGAAACCACAGAACACUAAAUUGAUACACUUUAACCCAUAUGGUACUAAAGUAAGAAAGUGUAAAACCACAGGGGUUAUAUUUAAAAUUUUUUCAUUAAAAUAUAAUUUGAGCACAUACCACAUCUAGCACAAUUGGUAGUGAUUUAAUGUCAGGUAUCCGAGGCGAAGAUCUUAAUUUCAGAAC
This 1144-nucleotide long non-coding RNA is filed under the name Ananas comosus (pineapple). Its description in RNAcentral is "long non-coding RNA (ACOM_LNC031762)". Lineage: Eukaryota; Viridiplantae; Streptophyta; Magnoliopsida; Poales; Bromeliaceae. The record is from RNAcentral.